RNAcentral lists this small nuclear RNA (371 nucleotides) under Canis lupus dingo (dingo). RNAcentral's name for it is "7SK RNA". It matches the Rfam family "7SK RNA". From Rfam's summary of the family: 7SK was discovered as an abundant small nuclear RNA in the mid-70s but a possible function has only recently been suggested. The record is from Rfam by way of RNAcentral. Lineage: Eukaryota; Metazoa; Chordata; Mammalia; Carnivora; Canidae.
GGCUGUGAGGGCAAUCUGGCUGGGACCUCUGUCACCCAUUGAUCACCAAGGUUGAUGAUUCCACUGAUCUGGCUGGCUAGGCAGGUGCCCCCUUCCAGCCGCACUGCUCCAUAUGCCUCCCUACGGAAGCUGUGCGCUUGGUGGGAGAGGACGACCUUCCCCCAUGGAGGACUGUUCUUUCAGCAAGGCUACAGGAGUAGGAAAAAAAAAAAAAAAAGAGGGUAUAGGAGUAGCUGUGCUCCUCCGCUAGAACCUCCAAACACGAUCACAAGGUCCCUCUGCACAAGAACACAGGGUAGUCCUUCCUGUGUUCUUCCAAGACUCCAGACACAUCCAAAUGAAGCACUUCGCGUGGCAACCUGCCUUUCUUA